AAGGUACUCAAGAGCACACAAUGGAUGCCUAGACGUAUAUUACCGAAGAAGGACGCGGAAGACUGCGAAAAGUCUCGGGGAGCUGUCAACAAGCUUUGAUCCGGGAAUGUCCGAAUGGGGAAACCCAGUACGAGUCAUGUCGUAUUAUCUGUCUCUGAAUAUAUAGGAGAUUUGACGGGAACCAACUGAACUGAAACAUCUUAGUAGGUUGAGGAAGAGAAAAUAAAUAAUGAUUCCGGGAGUAGUGGCGAGCGAAACUGGAUCAGCCCAAACCUUUUACAUUUUUGCCUGGUAAUUUAUUACCGGCGCAAAUAAGUUUUCAGACGAAUAUGUAUAAGGGGUUGUGAGAUUACACAAGAACAGGUCAGAGCACUAAAGUUUACUUUAGUGAAUCUGACUUGCGACCACGAACUGAAAAUAGUGGGUAAGGUAAAAAAAUUACAUCGUUAGCGGAAUAGUUUGAAUGACUAACCAAAGAACGUGAAAGUCGCGUAUGCGAAAACGAUGUUGACCUUAUCUGUGUUUUUCUCGAGUAGGACGGGGCACGAGAAACCCUGUUUGAAUCCGGCAGGACCACCUGCCAAGGCUAAAUAUAAUAUACGAUCGAUAGUGAACUAGUACCGUGAGGGAAAGGUGAAAAGAACCCCGGGAGGGGAGUGAAAUAGAUCCUGAAAUUGUGUGCUUACAAUGUGUCGGAGCGGAUUUAUUCCGUGACGGCGUGCUUUUUGUAGAACGAUCCAGCGAGUUAAUUUCCAGUGCAAGGUUAAGUCAAUUGACGGAGCCACAGUGAAAGCGAGCCUGAAUAGGGCGUUGGCACCUUCGCACUGAGCAAAAUACUCUGUGGACGCAUAGCGCUGAUUUUGGCAAAGUGAAAUCCGUUCAACGUAUAUAUCUAUACGUUUCACGAAUUUCGCAAAGCCAAAAUCUAGCGAUCUGUGCCCACAGAUGCAUUUUGUCCAGCGUGAAGGUGCCGAAAGUACUAGGAAUUAGACCCGAAACCGGGUGACCUAACCAUGAGCAGGCUGAAGCUACUGUAACAGGUAGUGAAGGGCCGAACCGUCGCAAGCAGCAAAUUGCUCGGAUGACUUGUGGUUAGAGGUGAAAUGCCAAUCGAACUCGGAGAUAGCUGGUUCUCCUCGAAAUAGCUUUAGGGCUAGCGUCAAGUAAUUAGCCAACGGGGGUAGAGCUCUGUAAAGGAAUAAGGUUCGCAAGAAUACUUAUCCUUAACAAACUACGAAUACCGUUGGUGGUAUCUUGGCAGUCAGAACGUCGGGGCUAAGCUCGGCGCUCAAAAGGGAAACAGCCCAGACCAUCAUCUAAGGUCCCCAAAUAUAUACUCAGUGGGAAACAAAGUGGAAUUUCUUAAACAGCUAGGAUGUUGGCUUAGAAGCAGCCAUUCAUUUAAAGAGUGCGUAACAGCUCACUAGUCAAGAGAUUCUGCGUGGAAAAUGUAACGGGGCUAAAGUAUAUUACCGAAGAUAUGGAUGUGAUGUAAUUUAUUACACACGUGGUAGAGGAGCGUUCCCGUCAGCAGUGAAGUUCAACUGGAAAGUUGGGUGGAGCGGCGGGAAGUGAGAAUGCUGGAAUGAGUAACCAUAAGACAGGUGAGAAUCCUGUCGGCCGUAAGAGCAAGGUUUCCUGAGCCAUGGUAAUCAUCUCNNNNNNNNNNNCAUAGCGUAGGCGAUGGACAUCAGGUUAAUAUUCCUGAACCGGUUAUAAUUUGUAUACAGUUUACAGUGGAAUAAUCAAAGCGAAUUCAUGGUAUGUAUUCGUCCAACCUAGCGGGAACGCAAAGGGAGUGAAAGUGAUUCUUCGGAGUCGCGAUUUUGAUCAAGGCACUGGCUAGAAAAGCUGGUAUACGCGUGGUUAUAGCCGCCCGUACCGCAAACCAACACAGGUGCUCGAGUCGAGUAGACUCAGGCUUACGAGAGAACCUUCGCUAAGGAACUCGGCAAUAAAGCGACCGUAACUUCGGGAUAAGGUCUGCCCCCACAUCAUUCGAUGUGAGCCGUGUUCAACUAACUUGGUGAAAGGUGGUUGAAAAUAGAUAAAUUUGAGUACGCAGUAUGUUUAGCGAUAGAUAUAUUGUGUCAAAACCUUUUUAAAAUCACAAUUUUUUACUGAGAUAGACAAAUCAUAAUAGUAAUAUUAAUGAUCUUUUGAGCACGACCUCUCGCAUCUAACGAUGUGGGGGCCGCAGCUAAAGAUUCCACGGAACUGUUUACCAAAAACACAGGUCUCUGCUAAUUCGAAAGAAGAUGUAUAGGGGCUGACUCCUGCCCAGUGCUGGUAGGUUAAGGGGAGCGCUUUACGGUGCGAACUGAAGCCCCAGUGAACGGCGGCGGUAACUAUAACCGUCCUAAGGUAGCGAAAUUCCUUGUCAGGUAAGUUCUGACCCGCACNNNNNNNNNNNNNNNNNNACCCCAUGGAGCUUUACUACAGCUUUACAUUGAUUCGGGUUACAACAUGUGUAGAAUAGGUGGGAGCCUUUGAAGCAGAUACGCAAGUAUUUGUGGAGGCACCAAGUGAAAUACCACCCUUGUUGUGAUCUUAAUCUUACCGUUACCAUUAUCUGGUAACGGGACCGUGUAUGGUGGGUAGUUUAACUGGGGCGGUUGCCUCCUAAAGAGUAGCGGAGGCGUUCAAAGGUUGGCUAGUUUCGUAUGGAAAUCGAAACGAUAGUGUAUGCGCAUAAGCCAGCUUGACUGUGAGGGGUACAUCCCAAACAGAUACGAAAGUAGGAGCAAGUGACCCGCUAUAUAGUACAUUUAUGUACAUGAACGUGGGAUCGAUAGCGCACACGGAUAAAAGUUACCCUGGGGAUAACAGGCUUAUAGCGCCCAAUAGUUCACAUAGACGGCGCUGUUUGGCACCUCGAUGUCGGCUCAUCACAUCCUGGAGGGGGAGCACCUUCCAAGGGUUCGGCUGUUCGCCGAUUAAAGUGGUACGCGAGCUGGGUUCAGAACGUCGUGAGACAGUUCGGUUUAUAUCCGGUACGGACGUUAGGAAAUUUGAGAAGAUCCACCCUUAGUACGAGAGGACCGGGGCGGACGAACCUCUGGUGUAUCGAUUGUGGCCACCUGCUGCAUUGUCGAGUAGCUACGUUCGGAAUAGAUAAGCGCUGAAAGCAUAUUAAGCACGAAACUAACUUCAAGAUAAGAUUUCCCUAUGAGGACACUGAAAGAAUAUCAGUUUGAUAGGCGCAAGGUGUAAGCAUGGCAACAUGUGUAGCUGAAGCGUACUAAUAGUCCCAUCGCCUUUUUAUG
This 3266-nucleotide ribosomal RNA is filed under the name Candidatus Saccharibacteria bacterium CG10_big_fil_rev_8_21_14_0_10_41_32. RNAcentral's name for it is "bacterial LSU rRNA". It matches the Rfam family "Bacterial large subunit ribosomal RNA". The record is from RNAcentral. Lineage: Bacteria; Candidatus Saccharimonadota.